This 491-nucleotide ribosomal RNA is filed under the name uncultured bacterium. RNAcentral's name for it is "partial 16S ribosomal RNA". It matches the Rfam family "Bacterial small subunit ribosomal RNA", at positions 29 to 506 of the family's 1533-position model. The record is from RNAcentral.
AGUGAACGCUGGCGGUAGGCCUAACACAUGCAAGUCGAACGGCAGCACAGUAAGAGCUUGCUCUUACGGGUGGCGAGUGGCGGACGGGUGAGGAAUACAUCGGAAUCUACUUUUUCGUGGGGGAUAACGUAGGGAAACUUACGCUAAUACCGCAUACGACCUACGGGUGAAAGCAGGGGAUCUUCGGACCUUGCGCGAUUGAAUGAGCCGAUGUCGGAUUAGCUAGUUGGCGGGGUAAAGGCCCACCAAGGCGACGAUCCGUAGCUGGUCUGAGAGGAUGAUCAGCCACACUGGACCUGAGACACGGUCCAGACUCCUACGGGAGGCAGCAGUGGGGAAUAUUGGCCAAUGGGCGCAAGCCUGAGCCAGCCAUACCGCGUGGGUGAAGAAGGCCUUCGGGUUGUAAAGCCCUUUUGUUGGGAAAGAAAAGCAGCAGGUUAAGACCCCGCUGUUCUGACGGUACCCAAAGAAUAAGCACCGGCGAACUUCGG